GAGUGCGAUCAUACCAGCAUUAAUGCACCGGAUCCCAUCAGAACUCCACAAUUAAGUGUGCUUGGGAUAGAGUAGCACUGGGUUGGGUGACCUCCCAGGAAGUGCUAUUAUUGCACCAU
This is a non-coding RNA of Picea glauca (white spruce), 119 nucleotides long. The record is from Rfam. NCBI's taxonomy places the organism in Eukaryota, Viridiplantae, Streptophyta, Pinopsida, Pinales, Pinaceae.